AAAAAAGAACAAUAAUUUAAACGCCAAUGCCUGUGAAAAAUAAAAAAAAAAAAUAAACUGCAUGCAUAAUAUAUUUUCUUACAUUCAACAGUACAAAUCACACAUGAAAUUGUUUUAUAACACAUAAACAAAGGCAUAAUACAGGUAUUAUAGUAUUCCCAUAUACAUAAUACAUUUACAAAUGUAGUUAUGUAUACAUGUUUUUAUUCAUAUAAUACACAUUACCGCUAUUUUGUGCAUUUUUCCUUUGAUCUUUUUUUGUGAUAAUUUUUCAUAUCGUGCUACUCACUUGAGAUGGAAAAUUAUAACUAGAAACUAAGCAGGCACGUGGCUUUGCUAACGAAAUUGACAUGAAUUUCAAUUAAUAGGUAAAAGCGAUAAAUAGAUUAUCAUUGGUCAUCUCUGACAACUCGAUUGCCUUUCUCGUUUUCGCCAUCCCGGCUGAAGCGAGAAAAUCAAUCUUGUUGAGAUGAUCAACGAUUAUCUAUAAAUACAUGCAUAAACGUACGUGUUCACACAAAACAUAUCAUAUGC
RNAcentral lists this long non-coding RNA (534 nucleotides) under Mytilus galloprovincialis (Mediterranean mussel). The record is from RNAcentral. Lineage: Eukaryota; Metazoa; Mollusca; Bivalvia; Mytilida; Mytilidae.